CUACGGGAGGCUCCAGUGGGGAAUCUUGGACAAUGGGCGCAAGCCUGAUCCAGCCAUGCCGCGUGAGUGAAGAAGGCCUUAGGGUCGUAAAGCUCUUUCGCCAGAGAUGAUAAUGACAGUAUCUGGUAAAGAAACCCCGGCUAACUCCGUGCCAGCAGCCGCGGUAAUACGGAGGGGGUCAGCGUUGUUCGGAAUUACUGGGCGUAAAGCGCGCGUAGGCGGAUUAGUCAGUCAGAGGUGAAAUCCCAGGGCUCAACCCUGGAACUGCCUUUGAUACUGCUAGUCUUGAGUUCGAGAGAGGUGAGUGGAAUUCCGAGUGUAGAGGUGAAAUUCGUAGAUAUUCGGAGGAACACCAGUGGCGAAGGCGGCUCACUGGCUCGAUACUGACGCUGAGGUGCGAAAGUGUGGGGAGCAAACAGGAUUAGAUACCCGCGUAGUC
Molecule: ribosomal RNA, 439 nt
Filed under: uncultured bacterium
Lineage: Bacteria
Description: partial 16S ribosomal RNA
Rfam family: Bacterial small subunit ribosomal RNA
Source: RNAcentral